GAAAUCUGAAUAGAACCGUACCAAAUUCAAAUGGGUGCCCGAACACCCAUCCAUAUGUUUGUAUAUCUCAGUCUUGCGAAUAAUAGAUCGAACACAUUAUGGACAAGUUAUAACACAGGCAGAGCACAUAAUUAGGUUAAUAUUUCAUAACUCGUGAUGAUUUCUUUCUUGAGACCUCUGGAUGUAAACAAAUAAGAACGUCCCAGUUUGAAGUUAGCCAAACCGGACUAGUUAAUGGGUUGUGGGUUUACCGGUCCAACUGAUCGAAUCAGGCCAGGUUUCAACCCAUUAUAACCGAGACAAAACAGCACAUCUAUCAAAGGAACAACUUCUAUCAAAAGGAACAACAUAAGGCGAUUUUAGAUGAAAUAAAACAAAGACAAAAAACAUAAGACAAGUUGUUCAAAAAAAAAGAAGACAAAAACAAAAGACAAAAAAGAAGAAUAAAAAGAGAAGGAGGUAGAGAGAUGCAUGUGGUGAGCAUUGCAGAGUGUAUGAGUCUGGUUGGAGUUAUAUUCUCAAGACGCACGCCUUCAAACAUUCUUAACUCUUUAGUAAUUUCCAAACAUUGAAAAAAGGGAGAAUUAGCAAAAGGGACACACUCAAUUUUUAUUUGUCUCAUUAGGACUUUUGAUCUUUUGGUCAUUUUUGAAUACUCUUUUG
RNAcentral lists this long non-coding RNA (663 nucleotides) under Brassica rapa (field mustard). Its description in RNAcentral is "long non-coding RNA (BRAP_LNC000616)". Lineage: Eukaryota; Viridiplantae; Streptophyta; Magnoliopsida; Brassicales; Brassicaceae. The record is from RNAcentral.